This 537-nucleotide ribosomal RNA is filed under the name uncultured bacterium. RNAcentral's name for it is "bacterial SSU rRNA". It matches the Rfam family "Bacterial small subunit ribosomal RNA", at positions 8 to 527 of the family's 1533-position model. The record is from RNAcentral.
AGAGUUUGAUCCUGGCUCAGAACGAACGCUGGCGGCGUGCCUAACACAUGCAAGUCGUGCGCGAAUGGAGCAAUCCUAGUAGAGCGGCGAACGGGUGCGUAACACGUGGGUAAUCUGCCCGGAAGAUCGGAAUAACCUGCCGAAAGGCAAGCUAAUACUGAAUAAGCCCACGGGGGCUUCGGCCCCUGAGGGAAAAGAUGGCCUCUGCAUGCAAGCUAUCACUUCUGGAUGAGCCCGCGGCCCAUCAGCUAGUUGGCGGGGUAAUGGCCCACCAAGGCAACGACGGGUAGCUGGUCUGAGAGGACGAUCAGCCACACUGGAACUGAGACACGGUCCAGACUCCUACGGGAGGCAGCAGUGGGGAAUUUUGCACAAUGGGCGCAAGCCUGAUGCAGCAACGCCGCGUGUGUGAUGAAGGUCUUCGGAUUGUAAAGCACUUUCGACUGGGACGAAAACCCGUUGGCUAACAUCCAACGGCUUGACGGUACCCUCCGAGAAAGCCCCGGCUAACUACGUGCCAGCAGCCGCGGUAAUACG